UGGGGAAUAUUGGACAAUGGGGGCAACCCUGAUCCAGCAAUGCCGCGUGUAUGAAGAAGGUCUUCGGAUUGUAAAGUACUUUCGACAGGGACGAUGAUGACGGUACCUGUAGAAGAAGCCCCGGCUAACUUCGUGCCAGCAGCCGCGGUAAUACGAAGGGGGCUAGCGUUACUCGGAAUGACUGGGCGUAAAGGGCGCGUAGGCGGCUUAUACAGUCAGAUGUGAAAUUCCUGGGCUUAACCUGGGACCUGCAUUUGAUACGUAUAGGCUAGAGUGUGAAAGAGGAUUGUGGAAUUCCAAGUGUAGAGGUGAAAUUCGUAGAUAUUUUGGAGGAACACCGGUGGCGAAGGCGGCAAUCUGGUUCACAACUGACGCUGAGGCGCGAAAAGCGUGGGGAGCAAACA
This 404-nucleotide ribosomal RNA is filed under the name uncultured Acetobacteraceae bacterium. RNAcentral describes it as "bacterial SSU rRNA". It matches the Rfam family "Bacterial small subunit ribosomal RNA", at positions 355 to 774 of the family's 1533-position model. Lineage: Bacteria; Pseudomonadati; Pseudomonadota; Alphaproteobacteria; Acetobacterales; Acetobacteraceae. The record is from RNAcentral.